Molecule: ribosomal RNA, 582 nt
Filed under: Triticum aestivum (bread wheat)
Lineage: Eukaryota; Viridiplantae; Streptophyta; Magnoliopsida; Poales; Poaceae
Description: partial small subunit ribosomal RNA
Source: RNAcentral
AUGGUCGAAGGCUCGGAUGCGGACAACGCUAGUCUGAAAUUACUCCUCCUCUGCUUCCAGCAAAUGUCUGGUCUCAAGAUCACCUUCGACAAAAGCGAUGUGAUGGUGAUGGGCUACUCUCCGGCUGAGGCCCUCGGCAUUGCCAACCGCCUCAACUGCCGCCUAGGCUCCUUCCCAACGACAUACUUGGGAACGCCCAUUAGUGACUGCCGGCUCACUAUGGCGGACCUUCGCCCUACGGUCUCCAAGUUGCAAACGCGAAUGGAGCCGUGGCAAGGUCGAUGGCUCUCGAAGGCGGCCCGGACAAUCCUCAUCAACUCCUCGCUCUCUAGUCUCCUCAUAUUCCGUAUGAGCUUCUACAGUCUCCAUGAGACCCUCCAUCACGAGAUUGCUAUAAUUCAAUCUCGCUUCUAUUGGGCGGGAGACAAUAACAGGCAGACGUAUCAUAUGGUUAGUUGGCCCAACAUCUGCAAACCUCGGGACCAGGGAGGCCUUGGCAUCAUGUGCUCUAAGCGCAUGAAGAUUGCCCUCCUUUCUCGUUGGCUCUGGCGCAUCUCUCAGGGACAUGGCGGUCUGUGGUUA